This 107-nucleotide small nucleolar RNA is filed under the name Capsicum annuum. RNAcentral's name for it is "Plant small nucleolar RNA R71". It matches the Rfam family "Plant small nucleolar RNA R71". From Rfam's summary of the family: R71 is a member of the C/D box family of snoRNAs containing the C (UGAUGA) and D (CUGA) box motifs. The record is from Rfam by way of RNAcentral. Lineage: Eukaryota; Viridiplantae; Streptophyta; Magnoliopsida; Solanales; Solanaceae.
UAUUGCUGAUAUGGACAAUCCUAAAAAAUGUCCUUAAAGCAUUCCCAAGCAUAAUAUAGAUUUUCAUCAAGCUUCUGUUUGAAGCUCACUAUCUCACUGUGAAGUCU